RNAcentral lists this ribosomal RNA (253 nucleotides) under uncultured bacterium. RNAcentral's name for it is "partial 16S ribosomal RNA". It matches the Rfam family "Bacterial small subunit ribosomal RNA", at positions 524 to 776 of the family's 1533-position model. The record is from RNAcentral.
UACAGAAGUCUCAAGCGUUGUUCGGAAUCACUGGGCGUAAAGGGUGCGUAGGUGGCGUGGUAAGUCAGAUGUGAAAGCCCGGGGCUCAACCUCGGAAUUGCAUCCGAUACUGCCGUGCUAGAGUACUGAAGAGGUGACUAGAAUUCUCGGUGUAGCAGUGAAAUGCGUAGAUAUCGAGAGGAAUACCAACGGCGAAGGCAGGUCACUGGGCAGUUACUGACACUGAGGCACGAAGGCCAGGGGAGCAAACGGG